AGCAAUAGCUAGUUGCAUCAUAGUAGAUAUGAUGCAAGAUCGACUAUGUUGAAUAAAAUUCUAGGUAGAAUUAUGAUAAUGACAUUGUCUGCCUAUGUGUCUUGACCAAAUUACGUGCCAGCAGUCGCGGUAAUACGUAGAAGACUAGUGUUAUUCAUGUUUAAUCGGUUUAAAGGGUACCUAGACGGUAGAUCAAGCUUUCUAAUAAAGGAAAAGGACUAGUUUACUAGAGUUACUUAUGAGGGGGUAUUAAAGUACUGCUGGUGUAGAGAUGAAAUUCUGUCAUACCUCUUUUCAAAAGAAAAACCAUGGCACAGGUAUAGGCGAAGGCAUCCCCUUAUGUGAUAACUGACGUUGAGGGACGAAGGCUUUGUGUAGCGAACAGGAUUAGAUACCCCAGUAGUCGAAGCAGAAAAUGAUGAAUGUCAUAGAUUAGAUAUAUAAGUUUAUUCUAUAAAUGAAAGUGUAAGCAUUCCACCUCAUGAGUAAUUUGGCAACAUUGGAACUGAAAUCAUUAGACCGUUUCUGAAACCAGUAGUGAAGUAUGUUGUUUAAUUUGAUGUCCCGCAAAAAACCUUACCACAAUUUGAAUAUUUAUAUUGUUUAUUGUUUUAUUAUUAAUUUUCUUG
Molecule: ribosomal RNA, 629 nt
Filed under: Xanthoparmelia cumberlandia
Lineage: Eukaryota; Fungi; Ascomycota; Lecanoromycetes; Lecanorales; Parmeliaceae
Description: SSU rRNA
Rfam family: Bacterial small subunit ribosomal RNA
Source: RNAcentral